Molecule: RNase P RNA, 459 nt
Filed under: Oscillospiraceae bacterium
Lineage: Bacteria; Bacillati; Bacillota; Clostridia; Eubacteriales; Oscillospiraceae
Description: RNase P RNA component class A
Rfam family: Bacterial RNase P class A
About the family: Ribonuclease P (RNase P) is a ubiquitous endoribonuclease, found in archaea, bacteria and eukarya as well as chloroplasts and mitochondria.
Source: RNAcentral
CAAGUAAGCCAGACAGCCGCGGGGGAGGGCCGAAAGGCUCCCUCUGAGGAAAGUCCGGGCUCCACAGGGCAAGGAUAACGGGUAACGCCCGCCGAAGGCGACUUCAGGACAAGUGCAACAGAGAUAUACCGCCUCAUCCGCUCAUACCGGCACCGGGACCUCGUGAAACGGGUCCCGCGCCGGGAGAGGGAGCGGCUCAGCAUUCGCGCCGCCGGCGUUCGCGCCGACGCGCGGAAUAUGUAGUCCGCGGCGACGAGGUAAGGGUGGAAAGGCGAGGUAAGAGCUCACCCGGGGAUAUGGCGACAUGUUCCCGCUGUAAACUCUAUUCGGAGCAACACCGUGAAGGGGGCAUACGGCCUGCCCGGCCGCUCCCGAGAGGUGGCGUGAGCCGUCCGGCGACGGACGGCCAAGAUAGAUGGCUGUCCACGACAGAAUCCGGCUUACCGGCUUACUUGCGCG